RNAcentral lists this ribosomal RNA (1400 nucleotides) under uncultured bacterium. RNAcentral describes it as "bacterial SSU rRNA". It matches the Rfam family "Bacterial small subunit ribosomal RNA". The record is from RNAcentral.
AGAGUUUGAUCCUGGCUCAGGAUGAACGCUGGCGGCAUGCCUAAUACAUGCAAGUCGAACGAGAGGAAAAGAAGCUUGCUUCUUUGAAUCUAGUGGCGAACGGGUGAGUAACACGUAGGUAACCUGCCCAUGUGCCCGGGAUAACUUCUGGAAACGGAUGCUAAAACCGGAUAGGUAGCAGACAAGCAUUUGACUGCUAUUAAAGUGGCUAAGGCCAUGAACAUGGAUGGACCUGCGGUGCAUUAGCUAGUUGGUGAGGUAACGGCCCACCAAGGCGACGAUGCAUAGCCGGCCUGAGAGGGCGGACGGCCACAUUGGGACUGAGACACGGCCCAAACUCCUACGGGGGGCAGCAGUAGGGAAUUUUCGUCAAUGGGGGGAACCCUGAACGAGCAAUGCUGCGUGAGUGAGGAAGGUCUUCGGAUCGUAAAGCUCUGUUGUAAGAGAAAAACGACAUUCAUAGGGAAUGAUGAGUGAGUGAUGGUAUCUUACCAGAAAGUCACGGCUAACUACGUGCCAGCAGCCGCGGUAAUACGUAGGUGGCGAGCGUUAUCCGGAAUGAUUGGGCGUAAAGGGUGCGUAGGUGGCAGAACAAGUCUGGAGUAAAAGGUAUGGGCUCAACCCGUACUGGCUCUGGAAACUGUUCAGCUAGAGAACAGAAGAGGACGGCGGAACUCCAUGUGUAGCGGUAAAAUGCGUAGAUAUAUGGAAGAACACCGGUGGCGAAGGCGGCCGUCUGGUCUGGAUUCUGACACUGAAGCACGAAAGCGUGGGGAGCAAAUAGGAUUAGAUACCCUAGUAGUCCACGCCGUAAACGAUGAGAACUAGGUGUUGGGGGAAUAACUCAGUGCCGCAGUUAACGCAAUAAGUUCUCCGCCUGGGGAGUAUGCACGCAAGUGUGAAACUCAAAGGAAUUGACGGGGGCCCGCACAAGCGGUGGAGUAUGUGGUUUAAUUCGAAGCAACGCGAAGAACCUUACCAGGCCUUGACAUCCCUUGCAGAGGUAUGGAGAUAUAUCCGAGGUUACCAAGGAGACAGGUGGUGCAUGGUUGUCGUCAGCUCGUGUCGUGAGAUGUUGGGUUAAGUCCCGCAACGAGCGCAACCCCUAUCUUCAGUAGCCAGCGGUUUGGCCGGGCACUCUGGAGAGACUGCCAGGGAUAACCUGGAGGAAGGCGGGGAUGACGUCAAAUCAUCAUGCCCCUUAUGACUUGGGCUACACACGUGCUACAAUGGCGUAAACAAAGGGAAGCAAGGGAGCGAUCCGGAGCAAAUCCCAAAAAUAACGUCUCAGUUCGGAUUGUAGUCUGCAACUCGACUACAUGAAGCUGGAAUCGCUAGUAAUCGCGAAUCAGCAUGUCGCGGUGAAUACGUUCCCGGGUCUUGUACUCACCGCCCGUCAA